This 250-nucleotide RNase P RNA is filed under the name Fidelibacterota bacterium. Its description in RNAcentral is "RNase P RNA component class A". It matches the Rfam family "Bacterial RNase P class A", at positions 18 to 270 of the family's 367-position model. Rfam says of the family: Ribonuclease P (RNase P) is a ubiquitous endoribonuclease, found in archaea, bacteria and eukarya as well as chloroplasts and mitochondria. Its best characterised activity is the generation of mature 5'-ends of tRNAs by cleaving the 5'-leader elements of precursor-tRNAs. Lineage: Bacteria; Pseudomonadati; Fidelibacterota. The record is from RNAcentral.
CGCCCUUCCUCCAAUAGGCGGAGGGGAGGAAAGUCCGAACUCCGCAGGACAAGGCGCCUCUUAAGAGGAGGGUCUCGCUAAUUGGUGAGAACGGCAAGUGCAGCAGAAAGUAAACAUCUCAGUCUUGUAUUGAGAAAUAGGUGAAAUGGUGGUGUAAGAGACCACCAGUAUUUAUGGAAACAUGAAUAGCUGGGUAAACCCCGCCUGGAGCAAGAUCAAGCAAUCCAGUGUAGUUCGCACGUUACGGAUG